This 494-nucleotide ribosomal RNA is filed under the name uncultured bacterium. RNAcentral describes it as "partial 16S ribosomal RNA". It matches the Rfam family "Bacterial small subunit ribosomal RNA", at positions 28 to 507 of the family's 1533-position model. The record is from RNAcentral.
GACGAACGCUGGCGGCGUGCUUAACACAUGCAAGUCGAACGGAAAGGCCUGCUUUCCCUUGUGGAUUGCGGGUACUCGAGUGGCGAACGGGUGAGUAACACGUGAGUGAUCUGCCCCCAACUUGGGUAUAAGCCUGGGAAACUGGGUCUAAUUCCCGAUAGGACUGCAGGGUGGUGCCUGUGGUGGAAAACGAUCUUCUAGUGGUUGGGGAUGAGCUCGCGGCCUAUCAGCUUGUUGGUGGGGUAAUGGCCUACCAAGGCGGCGACGGGUAGCCGGCCUGAGAGGGUGGACGGCCACAUUGGGACUGGGAUACGGCCCAGACGCCUACGGGAGGCAGCAGUGGGGAAUAUUAGACAAUGGGCGGAAGCCUGAUGCAGCGACGCCGCGUGGGGGAUGACGGCCUUCGGGUUGUAAACUCCUUUCGACCGCGAGGAAGCCACCUGGUUGGAAGGGUGGUGACGGUAGUGGUAGAAGAAGCACCGGCUAACUACGUG